RNAcentral lists this long non-coding RNA (571 nucleotides) under Brassica rapa (field mustard). RNAcentral's name for it is "long non-coding RNA (BRAP_LNC000376)". The record is from RNAcentral. Lineage: Eukaryota; Viridiplantae; Streptophyta; Magnoliopsida; Brassicales; Brassicaceae.
AUCAAUAUCCUAAAACGUAAACAUAAAUCUUUUAAUUACCCGUUCCAUAUGUAUAAGAGCAGCCUCAUCGGACAAACAAAUACUGAAAAGAGAUUCUUAGAGCAUUAAUAUCGGUGCCUCUUAAGGCUGACUCUUCCAAAAAAAAAUUAUUUAAAAUCAUAUGGAUCCCACCAUUAAUUAAAACCUGCCUCUUCUACCUCUUCCGUAAGAGGUGAGUUCGUGAGGAUUUUAUCACUUUUCGCAGGCCCCAUUGACACGUGUCUGCCCGCGAUUGGUCAGUUUUUAAUUUUUUUUUUUUAAAAUCGGACAAAACAAAAAAAUAAUAAUAAUAAAAAAAAAUUAAAACCCACUCUCUCUCCCCUUGCGUUAAUGCUGCUCUUAAUAAUUUUAUGUAUAUUUUAAUUCUCUUUUCAUUAUAUAACUAAAGUUCAUUAUUUUUAAAGCAAUAUAACCACUAAAAAUAACAUGUAUGAAAGACGGAAAAAGGUAUUUUAUAGGGUUAUAAUAAUAAAUGCUUACUUUUGAAUUGAUAUCUCAUUCUCAUUCUCUUUUUAUUUUUAUUUUAUUUUUC